This 253-nucleotide ribosomal RNA is filed under the name uncultured bacterium. RNAcentral describes it as "partial 16S ribosomal RNA". It matches the Rfam family "Bacterial small subunit ribosomal RNA", at positions 524 to 776 of the family's 1533-position model. The record is from RNAcentral.
CACGUAGGGCGCAAGCGUUGUCCGGAAUUAUUGGGCGUAAAGAGCUCGUAGGCGGUCUGUUACGUCUGCUGUGAAAACCCAGGGCUUAACCCUGGGCUUGCAGUGGAUACGGGCAGACUAGAGGCAGGUAGGGGAGAAUGGAAUUCCCGGUGUAGCGGUGAAAUGCGCAGAUAUCGGGAGGAACACCGGUGGCGAAGGCGGUUCUCUGGGCAUGUCCUGACGCUGAGGAGCGAAAGUGUGGGGAGCGAACAGG